UCUCAGUGAUGCACUUCCAAUAGGUCCUUCUGAUCCUCCACUGUGGACUCACUAGCAGGGAGAUGAAGAGGAAGGUGACCGAGAGA
Molecule: small nucleolar RNA, 86 nt
Organism: Balaenoptera musculus (blue whale)
Lineage: Eukaryota; Metazoa; Chordata; Mammalia; Artiodactyla; Balaenopteridae
Source: Ensembl